ACGGUUAACCGGGUGGGUCGUCAAGGUGGACGGAGAGAUCGAGGACUGGACCGGAAGUGAAGGUCCAGCUUCAAAAUAAAGGUUCAGUUUGCUGUAAUUCCUACCGUCGUUCCCGUUGCCAUCCUGGUUCAUGAUGUCAUAGACCACGCCCAGAACGCUGUUCACCACUUCCGGCAGCUCAGCGGAGGUUUCCGUUUCGACGGGGGCAGAGAUGUUCGUCUCCAGCAGCUGGUCGUGCUGCA
This is a long non-coding RNA of Gambusia affinis (western mosquitofish), 242 nucleotides long. RefSeq lists it as uncharacterized. The transcript is spliced from 2 exons. NCBI's taxonomy places the organism in Eukaryota, Metazoa, Chordata, Actinopteri, Cyprinodontiformes, Poeciliidae. The record is from RefSeq and is a predicted model, not a curated record.